CGUGGAGACAGGUGGUGCAUGGCUGUCAUCAGCUCGUGUCGUGAGAUGUUGGGUUAAGUCCCGCAACGAGCGCAACCCUUGUCCUUGGUUGCCAGCAUUAAGUUGGGCACUUUAAGGAGACUGCCGGUGUCAAACCGGAGGAAGGUGGGGAUGACGUCAAGUCCUCAUGGCCCUUAUGUCCAGGGCUACACACGUGCUACAAUGGUCGAUACAAAGGGUUGCGAAACCGCGAGGUGGAGCUAAUCUCAAAAAGUCGUUCUCAGUUCGGAUCGGAGUCUGCAACUCGACUCCGUGAAGUUGGAAUCGCUAGUAAUCGUGGAUCAGCAUGCCACGGUGAAUACGUUCCCGGGCCUUGUACACACCGCCCGUCACACCACGAAAGUCUGCUGUACUCGAAGUCGCUGAG
RNAcentral lists this ribosomal RNA (406 nucleotides) under uncultured Methylomirabilota bacterium. RNAcentral describes it as "bacterial SSU rRNA". It matches the Rfam family "Bacterial small subunit ribosomal RNA", at positions 1027 to 1434 of the family's 1533-position model. Lineage: Bacteria; Methylomirabilota (SeqCode). The record is from RNAcentral.